This 362-nucleotide ribosomal RNA is filed under the name Bacillus sp. MBGLi97. RNAcentral's name for it is "bacterial SSU rRNA". It matches the Rfam family "Bacterial small subunit ribosomal RNA", at positions 1 to 352 of the family's 1533-position model. Lineage: Bacteria; Bacillati; Bacillota; Bacilli; Caryophanales; Bacillaceae. The record is from RNAcentral.
UUCAUGGAGAGUUUGAUCCUGGCUCAGGACGAACGCUGGCGGCGUGCCUAAUACAUGCAAGUCGAGCGGACAGAUGGGAGCUUGCUCCCUGAUGUUAGCGGCGGACGGGUGAGUAACACGUGGGUAACCUGCCUGUAAGACUGGGAUAACUCCGGGAAACCGGGGCUAAUACCGGAUGCUUGAUUGAACCGCAUGGUUCAAUUAUAAAAGGUGGCUUUUAGCUACCACUUACAGAUGGACCCGCGGCGCAUUAGCUAGUUGGUGAGGUAACGGCUCACCAAGGCGACGAUGCGUAGCCGACCUGAGAGGGUGAUCGGCCACACUGGGACUGAGACACGGCCCAGACUCCUACGGGAGGCAGC